Long non-coding RNA from Eubalaena glacialis (North Atlantic right whale), 5598 nucleotides. RefSeq lists it as uncharacterized. The record is from RefSeq and is a predicted model, not a curated record. The transcript is spliced from 3 exons. NCBI's taxonomy places the organism in Eukaryota, Metazoa, Chordata, Mammalia, Artiodactyla, Balaenidae.
ACAAAGAAAAGCGACUGUGUCUCAUGACUGGCCGCUGUCCUCCGCCGGCUGAAGCGGGCCCUGUGUCUAGUGACAGCCUGUGCGGUCUGCGCUGAAUUCACGCGUCUGUGGGCAGCUGACCGGCCGGAGAGGGAACGAGGCAUUGGGGCUGCACGCUGCCAUCUCACUAGCUCAGGCCUUGGACAAGUUUCCCUUUCUGAGCUCCUGUUUUCUCAUCCGUACAACGGGCAUCCUGAUGCUAACUCCUGUGAGACUCAGCGAAGAUCACAUACAUGCAAAACAAAGGGACAGUGAGGGCGGGUGGGCCUGUCCACGCCAGGCAGGGCUCCGGCCUCUCAGAACAAAUGGGUGACACGGUUCUGACCCACAACACUGGGGCUUGGAGGGCUGCUUGCUGGCCUAGAUUCCCUGCGUGCUCGGGAAGGCCCAUCUUACAAAGUCCUCAAGUAAAGAUGCUCUUCUCCUCUGAUCCUCUCAAGCCAGAACAGUCUGUCCCCACACGUGCGCGGCAGCCCGCAGUCCCGCGGCCGUUACCUUGUAGGGCACUUCUCCAAGCCUCACCACUCGGGCCUGUUUCAGCCACGUGUCCCUGGAGUGCAGGGUGUGCACGCAGUCCCUAAGGAGCCAAUGGGAGACAAGACAGGGUUCACGCCCACCGAAGCACCCCGCAGGGCCCGGCUGCCUCCUCUGGCCCCCCAGGAGAAGGGGGAGCUCGGCCCUGGAGCGUCUCCCGGGGCACCAGGGGCCUGCGUCAGGCCCACGGUUAACAGGCACCUGCUGUCUCGCGGGGGGAUGCAUCCACUCACAAAUCCCAAACUAAAUGGCUUCCCGUGGUGCCUUGCCCCUCCUCCCGCCAGAAGGGCCCAGCAGUGCAGGUGCAAGCCCUCACCCAGGGUCUGGUCCGCUCCCGAAUACCAGAGAGGGGGAGGGAGGGACGAGUGUCCAGAGAAGGGGUGGGGAAGCCAGAAGACGACGCGGAGACUACAGUAAGCUGACAAAGUACACAGGUUAGGAUGAACGCACACAGAACAGUCGGUUCCAUCUGGCUCUGGCUUCGCUCUCCUUCCAGAGCUUAGAGCCACACCCUGCCUCCCAUUCCAGCUGCUUCCUGCCGAGCCUUCAGCAAGGCCCGCCCUUCAGUGGGGCUCCAAGGAGCAAGGGCACUAAGCUCCCUCUGGUGCGGACAUCCGGCCCUUCGCCUGCCCCCGGGCUGAGGCUGACGUCCAGCACAGCACACCGGACAAGGUCACACCUCCUCUGUGCCCCUUCCUAGCGGGAUGACCCCCGAUCCAUCAGGAACGGUGGGCACUGCCUCCCUGCCUCACAAGCUGCUGGGGGGACCAGGGACAAGGGCUCCACACGCAUGCCCACCGCAGGGGCACAUCUCUGCCUGAAGGAGUGACUGUCACGGUCGUGGUCUUCCGGUAGGAGCGGAGAAGGGGCAAGCAGGUGGGCAUCGCCUGGACAUUCACAAGGAUAGCAGAGGGAAGUGGGCACAGACAGCCCGUUCACAAUAAAUCUCAGCUUCUAACCACUUUACAUCUGUUAGGACACUACUCAAGAAACAGAAAACAAGAACUGGAGAGAAUGUAGAGACACUGGGAACUUCAUGCUCUGCUGGGGGAUGUAAAAUGAUGCAGCCACUGCAGAAAACAGUGCGGAGGUUCUUCACAAAGUUAAACAGAAUCACCAUGUGAUGCAGAAAUCCUACUUCUGGGCAUAUACAUCCAAAAGGACUAAAAGCAGGGUCUCAAGAGAUGUCUGUGCACCCAUGUUCAUAGCAGCACUAAACACAACCAAAAGGGGAAGCAACACAAGUGUCCAUCAAUGGAUGCCAGUCACAAAAGGACAAAUGCUGUAGGAUCCACUUCUAUGAGGCAGGGACCCCCUUCCCACCAGAUGUCCCCUGCACGUAGGACACCUGUGCUGUAUCCUCCAUUGAGGUCGCCAGGCCCUGGACGCUGUCGGCAGCUGGGCCCCUGACCAGCCAGGGGGCAGAAAGCUCCCACAGUGACCCUAACCGGAGGGUCGGGGAUGCCUCCCCUCGGGGCUGAGCUGCAGGAAGUAGCUGUCAGGCAGAGGAGUUGAGCCACCUACUCCUGCUGCAGCCUCUCCGCCGUGCCCCCCGCCCACAACGGCAUGCGCACACUGUGAAGCUCCAACCCCAGCCCAGCGAAGGCUGCUAAUCCCGGGCCGCCGGGCGUCUCCUCACCUGGAGUAGACAGCCUCUCCGCGGCAGUACCCGAGGAUGGCAGCCGUCUCAGGGUAGAUGGCCUCGUACUUGAGGAGGUGCCUCUUGAGGGCAUACAGAGGGUGGUUCUUGUACGUGCCUAUGACGGUGGGCAGAGGCUGGUCCAGGUGCCUCGCCUGAAACUGCAGAGGCCGAGAGACGACGUUGGGCGUGGUGCUCGGAGAGGGAGGGAGGGAGGUUGGCGGUGACCACCGAACUUGCCCAGGUAACUGACGGUGCCGUGGGGCUUUCGGAGCCCCAGGGCCACCGCACCACGCUGUGACCUGGCGUUCUGUCCCACAGGUUUAGGUGCCUCGGAAGCUCCGCAGGGGCCAGUAAUCCUGCAGCUCGCAGCAACGGAAAAGUCCUCCCUGCCCUCUGACACCUCGGCCGGCCCGAGCAGAGCCUUCCUCGGGAGGAGGCCUCACCUCAAGUGACACCACAAUUCUGUGACACGGGUUCAGCGGCUCGGCUCCCACGGAAACCAGAACGAGCACUCACACCUUCUCCGUCCACUACGAUCUACACCUGUUCUCCCCGCUGCCUCAAGGCGCCUAGCUCCUCGCAGGCAACCCCACUGCUCUCACCUGCAUCCCACUCACCAGGUCUCCUGCACUUCCCCGCAGCAUCUCUUCAAACCCCGACAGACAAGGGAGGAGCGGCAAGUGGGAGCAGGAGGGACCCCGCUUGGCCAGCUUGCAUGACAAGCCCUUGAACUAGGUCAGUCGCAACACGCUCUGCACGACUGCCACGACCCUGUCACCUCUGAGCCACACCCUGAGCGAUGCAGUGCACAGGGACGACUCCCUGCCCUGGGGAACUGGCAAUAAUUCUCCAGCAAGUCUGCCGACCCUGCGGGCGGCCCUGCACAAGCCCCGGGCCCUCUUCCGGGCCCACGGCUGUCCCUCGACUCAGGGACGCGCUGCUCCAGAAGCCGCCCCCAGGGCGCCCCUCACAGACGAGCCAUCUCCUCAGCCCUCCUCCUGGGGGCUGGGCGUUCUGCGUCGGGGCAGGGAUGCUGGCGUGCACGCCUCUGCGCGCGCGCACGCUGAGAAGGGAGGACAGUCGUAUUACUGCGCGCUUUCCUCUUUCACUCAGGACUACCUACCUGACUUAAAGCUCCAAAUUUAUAACUGGGCAAUAACUGAACGUACACAGGCUUUGAAGCCAGAGCAACCUGGGUUCAAAUACCAGGUCGGCUCAUCUCUCAGACUCUAAAUGUUCAGCUGGUAAAACGAAGGCUACGAUAACCCCAGCUUUGUACUGCUGCUGUGAUAAGUAACUGAGCUAACACUCUACAAACACGACACGGGGCUGGGCAUCCAGCAGGGGCGCGUGCGCAAGGCCUCACCUCCUGGUCCUCCCUCUGCUCCCUCGCCACCAGCGGGCUCCGGUAGGGUCGCAGGGCCUCGGCCCACCACGCGGCGUCAACCCGGCACUUUCGGGUCGCCGUCAUCCAGGCAGGGUCGUACCUCUGUGUGACGUCGCGCACCCAGCCGUCGCCGUCGAUGCCCACGAUGUAGGUCACAGGCUUGGUGGCGUGCUGGUAGCAGGUCAGGGGCUGGCCCACGACUCCGUGCACACAGUCCACGCACAGCCACUUCUCCUCCCGCUCGGAGAACACCUCCAGCCACUGGUCCACACCAGCUGCUCUCCGGCCGUCUGCCUCCUCACCAUCCACGGGCAUCGUACGCUUGCCUCUCUUACGCUUACUGCCGGAAGCGCUUACAGACGCUUCUGGAAAGCCAGGGGGCUGAGGCUGGCUUCCACGCUGGGACCUGGACUCCCUCUUGGACCCCACCUUCAUCCUCUGAGGGGCGGUGGCCCUCCUCUGCCUUGAAAGGCCUGGCUCAGAAUCCUCGUCGGAUGGGCGAUGGCUGUCCGAGCUGGAGAGCUCAAAGUCAGAGCCGCUGCCGGCCUCGUCACUCCCGCUCUCUUCUUUGUAAGACACCCUGGCGGCCGCCCGCCGCUCCCGGCCCCGCGAACGCCUCUGGGUCCCCUCCGUCUGCCCCCCGGCCUUGCCCUCUUCUUCCCUGCUGGAGGAGGGCUCUCUCCGCUUCUUCCUGAUGGCAGCCGCCUUGCUCCCCUUCCCUUUGGCACGUGCACUGCCAGCGCCCUCAGAAGACGUGUCCUCUCGUCUGCUUCCUCUGCUGGUCUCUGGUUUGCUUGGUUUUCCAGGAACUUGGCUGGAAGUUUCUGAGGAGCCUCCAGGACCCUCUGUGGAUCUCUCCUUGGAAGGUUUCUUUCCCUUAAACAGAAUAGGAAAUUUUUUCUUUUUCUUUUUUUGCUAAUGAUACAAUAAAGACUCUGGCAUCUAACGGGGCUAAGUCACACUGGAACACCAGCGUACACAAGACGUUCCCGGCUCAGACAGUGACAGGCUGGCUACCCUCCAGGGCUGUAAGAAAGCAGUCACUAAAUUCUGCAGCACCUUAAAUAAGGCCACACUCUAAUUCUUUUCAAUACAAAGUGUAGCACAGGGAAAAGAGCACGGGAUGUGGAAACAGACAAAUCCGGGUUCAAACUCCACUUCUGCUUUCUCAUUUUUUAUGUGAUUUGGAUAAAUUAUGUCACCUCUGAGUCUCAGUUUCCUCAGCAAUAGUACUCACCUUGCACAUAAGGCAUUUUGCAAACAAAGUCACAGCAUUAAGAAUUCAGAAAUUAUUAAACUUGACUUCUGGACCCAAUUUCAGACAAUGCCAGCACCCCAAGGAGCACAGCGGUCAGCCUCCUCGGAUGACGGUAGAGUUCUGAGUCCUCACCGUCCUCUCUCCACACCGCUGAGGAGGACCAGUACCUUCUUAUUCCACCACUUACAGAACAGAAACCAGAGCACAAAGGAGCCCAAGCUCUCGCAGGCCCCUCUACGCACGCAAAGCCUGGCUGCUAGAUACCCACCCAGGCGCCCAGUCUUCCCAGCACAGGGCCUGUGCCAGGCAGGCUCCGAGGAACCCUGCUCCACGAAGACUGAUUUUUAAAAAUCGUCUAAUGAGCAGAUCUGUUUGCUUUAAGUCUCAUAAUUUCUCACUCCUCCCUGACCAACUACUCUUUUCUCUGGAAGCCCCGGGAACCUCACCUUCGCUGCUGAUAACUUCAGAGGAAUUGGCUGUAGAGACAGUACGAGUCGGGUAGGGAGAUGCAGGGCCCGGAGAAUCAGUAAAAAUAUCUAUAAUGAAAAAGAACAACAUGCUUAUCCUCAGGAAAGAAUUUAGGAUUUGCAUAAUUCCAUGCUGUUUGUUGUGGUGCCUGUUUAUAAAAGGGAAACAACCAAAUUGUCUAACAGUAGGAGCCUGGAACCCUCAACACUAUUAAAAUGAUGCUGUAGAGAUUUAUCUUUGUAGAAAAAUGGGGAAAGGUAACCAUAUAUU